Molecule: ribosomal RNA, 462 nt
Filed under: uncultured organism
Description: bacterial SSU rRNA
Rfam family: Bacterial small subunit ribosomal RNA
Source: RNAcentral
AGUGAACGCUGGCGGCGUGCCUAAGACAUGCAAGUCGCACGAGAAAGUCGCAAGAUGAGUAAAGUGGCGCACGGGUGAGUAAUAUUUAGGUAACGUACCUCCUCGCUGGGAAUAACCAGGAGAAAUCUUGGCUAAUACCGAAUACAUCGACAGAGACUGUGGUUUUUGUCGGAAAAGCCGUAAGGCGCGGGGAGAGUGGCUUAAAUCCCAUUAGCUAGUUGGUGAGGUAACGGCCCACCAAGGCUUCGAUGGGUAGCUGGUCUGAGAGGACGACCAGCCACACUGGAACUGAAACACGGUCCAGACUCCUACGGGAGGCAGCAGUUAGGAAUCUUGUGCAAUGGGCGAAAGCCUGACACAGCAACGCCGCGUGAGUGAUGAAGGCCCUCGGGUCGUAAAGCUCUUUUAGUCGGAACGAAAUAAAUGACGGUACCGGCAGAAACAGCACCGGCUAACCCUGUG